Oncorhynchus tshawytscha (Chinook salmon) is the source of this 655-nucleotide long non-coding RNA. The record is from Ensembl. NCBI's taxonomy places the organism in Eukaryota, Metazoa, Chordata, Actinopteri, Salmoniformes, Salmonidae.
GGAGUAGUGGUUGUAACGUAUUAGUGGAGUAGUGGUUGUAACGUAUUAGUGGAGUAGUGGUUGUAACGUAUUAGAGGAGUAGUGGUUGUAACGUAUUAGAUGAUAGUGGUUGUAACGUAUUAGAGGAGUGGUGGUUGUAACGUAUUAGAUGAGGCUGUAUUAGUGGAGUAGUGGUUGUAACGUAUUAGUGGAGUAGUGGUUGUAACGUAUUAUGGAGUAGUGGUUGUAAUGCAUUAGUGGAGUAGUGGUUGUAACGUAUUAGUGGAGUAGUGGUUGUAACGCAUUAGUGGAGUAGUGGUUGUAACGUAUUAGUGGAGUAGUGGUUGUAACGUAUUAGUGGAGUAGUGGUUGUAAUGCAUUAGCGGAGUAGUGGUUGUAACUAUUAGCGGAGUAGUGGUUGAAAUGCAUUAGCGGAGUAGUGGUUGUAAUGCAUUAGAUGAAGCUGCAUUAGUGGAGUAGUGGUUGUAAUGCAUUAGCGGAGUAGUGGUUAUAACGUAUAAGUGGAGUAGUGGUUGUAACGUAUUAGUGGAGUAGUGGUUGUAACUAUUAGUGGAGUAGUGGUUGUAAUGCAUUAGUGGAGUAGUGGUUGUAAAGUAUUAGUGGAGUAGUGGUUGUAACGUAUUAGUGGAGUAGUGGUUGUAAUGCAUUAGUGGAG